Molecule: ribosomal RNA, 753 nt
Filed under: alpha proteobacterium SCGC AAA015-D20
Lineage: Bacteria; Pseudomonadati; Pseudomonadota; Alphaproteobacteria
Description: SSU rRNA
Rfam family: Bacterial small subunit ribosomal RNA
Source: RNAcentral
CAGUCGAACGAAGUAGCAAUACUUAGUGGCAGACGGGUGAGUAACAUGUAGGUAUCUACCCUUUGGUGAGGAAUAACACGAGGAAACUUGUGCUAAUACCUCAUAAGUCUUUACGGAGAAAGCUUUAUGCGCCGAAGGAUGAGCCUGCACUUGAUUAGUUUGUUGGUGGGGUAAUGGCCUACCAAGACUUUGAUCUAUAGCUGAUCUGAGAGGAUGAUCAGCCACAUUGGGACUGAGACACGGCCCAAACUCCUACGGGAGGCAGCAGUAGGGAAUAUUGCACAAUGGAGGAAACUCUGAUGCAGCGAUGCCGCGUGAGUGAAGAAGGCCCUUGGGUUGUAAAGCUCUUUCGUCGGGGAAGAAAAUGACUGUACCCGAAUAAGAAGGUCCGGCUAACUUCGUGCCAGCAGCCGCGGUAAUACGAAGGGACCUAGCGUAGUUCGGAAUUACUGGGCUUAAAGAGUUCGUAGGUGGUUAAAAAAGUUGGUGGUGAAAUCCCAGAGCUUAACUCUGGAACUGCCAUCAAAACUUUUUAGCUAGAGUAUGAUAGAGGAAAGCAGAAUUUCUAGUGUAGAGGUGAAAUUCGUAGAUAUUAGAAAGAAUACCAAUUGCGAAGGCAGCUUUCUGGAUCAUUACUGACGCUGAGGAACGAAAGCAUGGGUAGCGAAGAGGAUUAGAUACCCUCGUAGUCCAUGCCGUAAACGAUGUGUGUUAGACGUUGGAAAUUUAUUUUCAGUGUCGCAGCGAAAGCGU